CCGUUUCAGGUACCGUAGCGAUGCCUAGCGUGCCGGUGGAGCGGUAACAGGGGUAAUUGUAUUACCUGCUGACGGGCGGCGGACGGCUGAGUAACGCGUGGGAACAUGCCCCAAAGUGAGGAAUAAGCACCAGAAAUGGUGUCUAAUGCCGCAUAUGAUCUUCGGAUUAAAGGAUUUAUCCGCUUUGGGAGUGGCCCGCGUACGAUUAGGUAGUUGGUGAGGUAAGGGCUCACCAAGCCUACGAUCGUUAAUUGGUCGGAGAGGAUGACCAGUCAGACUGGAACUGGGACACGGUCCAGACUCCUACGGGAGGCAGCAGUGAGGAAUCUUCCACAAUGGGCGAAAGCCUGAUGGAGCGACGCCGCGUGCAGGAUGAAGACCUUCGGGUUGUAAACUGCUUUUAUAAGUGAAGAAUAUGACGGUAACUUAUGAAUAAGCACCGGCUAACUACGUGCCAGCAGCCGCGGUCAUACGUAGGGUGCAAGCAUUAUCCGGAGUGACUGGGCGUAAAGAGUUGCGUAGGUGGCUCGUAAAGUGAAUGGUGAAAUCUGGCGGCUCAACCGUACAGACCAUUAUUCAAACUCACGAACUCUAGAAUGGUAUAGGUAACUGGAAUUUCUAGUGUAGGAGGGAAAUCCGUAGAUAUUAGAAGGAACACCAAUGCCGUAGGCAGGUUACUGGACCAUUCCUGACACUGAGGCACGAAAGCGUGGGGAGCGAACCGGAUUAGAUACCCGGGUAGUCCACGACGUAAACUAUGGAUACUAGCUGUUGGAGAUAUCAACCCCUUCAGUAGCGAGUUUAACACGUUAAGUAUCCCGCCUGUGGAGCACGGUCGCAAGACUAAAACACAAAGGAAUUGACGGGGAGCCUUACAAGCGGUGUAUUAUGUUCUUUAAUUCGAUGAUAAACGAUGAACCUUAUUCGAGUUUAGACAUCCCAAGAGUUUUGUCGAAAGACGAGAGUGCUUUAUUGAACUUGGUGACAGGUGAUGCAUGGCCGUCGUCAGCUCGUGUCGUGAGAUGUUUGGUUAAGUCCAUCAACGAGCGCAACCCUUGUGAUUAGUUGUAUUUUUCUAAUCAGACUGCCCCGGUAACGGGGAGGAAGGAGGGGAUGA
RNAcentral lists this ribosomal RNA (1117 nucleotides) under uncultured bacterium. Its description in RNAcentral is "bacterial SSU rRNA". It matches the Rfam family "Bacterial small subunit ribosomal RNA", at positions 19 to 1182 of the family's 1533-position model. The record is from RNAcentral.